GGCCAGCGAGUACAGAGCACGCGCGUGGGAGUUUAUCGCUGCCUUGGCCAUUAACGACGCGCCGCUCCCUCGGUUUUGCAAGCAGUAGAACCGAAUCUGCACACAACAGAUAGAAAUCAACAAGUUAGAUUUUUGAAAAAGUAAUAACAAUUGACAAUUUCUUCACACAAGACAGUAUUUUUCUAAUUUCCUAACUUGAAUUUCAGGUUAACUCACCAUGCCUAAAGUGAAACAGGCUUCAACAUUUCCGGCAUCCGCACAGUUUUUGAGGAAACGGUGGGCCGAAUCGCACCAAUCUUUGGCUCUAAUAGCGAAAGCUCUGGG
RNAcentral lists this long non-coding RNA (324 nucleotides) under Vigna radiata. Its description in RNAcentral is "long non-coding RNA (VRAD_LNC011806)". The record is from RNAcentral. Lineage: Eukaryota; Viridiplantae; Streptophyta; Magnoliopsida; Fabales; Fabaceae.